Molecule: ribosomal RNA, 301 nt
Filed under: uncultured bacterium
Lineage: Bacteria
Description: partial 16S ribosomal RNA
Rfam family: Bacterial small subunit ribosomal RNA
Source: RNAcentral
CAGCAGCCGCGGUAAUACGUAGGUCCCGAGCGUUGUCCGGAUUUAUUGGGCGUAAAGCGAGCGCAGGCGGUUAGAUAAGUCUGAAGUUAAAGGCUGUGGCUUAACCAUAGUACGCUUUGGAAACUGUUUAACUUGAGUGCAGAAGGGGAGAGUGGAAUUCCAUGUGUAGCGGUGAAAUGCGUAGAUAUAUGGAGGAACACCGGUGGCGAAAGCGGCUCUCUGGUCUGUAACUGACGCUGAGGCUCGAAAGGGUGGGGAGCAAACAGGAUUAGAUACCCCUGUAGUCCCUGUCUCUUAUACA